AACAGGUGUAUGAUCUCAACACAAAUAUUGUUUCUGUAGUGGAUGAGGAAUACAUAACCCAGCGUGCAGCUAACUCCUUGGGUUCCAAGGGUAUGUUCCAGUUUAUUCAACGAAAGGGGUCUUCGAGGAAUCUUCUGGCUCUCCUUAAGCAUGAUGGUUGAGUUACUAAGGCUUGGCAGGUACUACCUCUGGUCCCUAUUCCCUAUUAAUUGACACACGAUCACUUCACUAAUCUAGGUGCGUGCACUGAACUCCUUCACGUCGAUUAAAAACGACUGGGGGGGUAGAUUCAAGUGACAGUAAUGGUAAUGGUAAUGGUUUCAAGCAGUGAUAAAUCAGUCAGAAAUCCUAUGGUUAAUCCAUCACAAAUUGGGAAGGCGGAGUCAGACAGUCAGUUAACCUCCAAUUUGGUUCUUUUCGGAUCACCGAGUGGCUUUGUGAUAGGUUUCUUUCAAAAUUAUUACAUUACCUUUGUGCACAUGUCAUUAGAAUACAACCAUAUUUAAUUAUCUUACUAUAAAUAUGAUCACCAAUGUACCCAAAACCUUUGUCAACUGUUCGUCUGACUAGAGAUAAGGUGCACUUAUCUGACAUGAGUGUAGCAUGUACAUAUUCAAUCAAAUUGCACUUUAUGUCGUAUGGUUGCUCGAAACAGAGGAGGGAUGCUCAUACAUUGAUCUUUAAGAGUGCUCUUUAUUCUGUCCUGCUGAGUUUUGAUUACGGGGUUUAGAAUUGGCUAUCCCAAAUAGCCAAUUGGUGUGAUCUCUUAUAGCAAAUGGACCAUCACCACCAAAUGGUUUGUUUGCAGGAGUAAAUAUUUGUUGUAGUUUUAAUCGAUCUACAGUUUCUAUUCUUGUUUUCUUCAAAAAAAUCCCUUAUUUAAAGUCGUUACAUGUUGGCCUUUGCUUCAUGUUGUGCAGCUAAAAAGGACACACGUAAGAUUCUAUUGUUGUUUGAUUCUAAGUCUCUAACUAUGUUGUAUAUUGAAAAAACUGAGGCUGGGACUCAUGCCAUUGGAGAAGCUAUUGCAUUGCCGUCACAAUUCGGCAUGCUGAGGAUUCAUGAGUAUGAGAAAGAGUUGGGAUUGUAUCUUUACGAGACAUAUCCAUGCGAGACUAGAUAUGAAUUCAACGAAGCUAAGCAGUUCCUUGGGUAAUAUGGGUUAGAUGAAGAUGAAUUCAUCCGUUGGGACUGAGGUCUAUGACAAUGACUUUGACGGACUGCCUAUGAAUUAUCAAGAAAGUUUUCCUUCUAUGCUAGCUACUCCGUACUUCUGAUGUUUCGUUAUGCGUAGUGAUCUCUGUGAUAAUCGUGUCACUAAAGUUUGAUGUUUCAUCUUACACUAUAUAUAUGUAAAUAAUGGAGCACCUAGCUCUGCUAUGAACUCACAUGGUACUACUCCUAUCUUAGAACCAUGUAUUUGUACCUAUAUGUAAUGUAUUUCUCCUUCUUUCGGCUCAAAUAUGUGGUGUGUUUCUC
This is a long non-coding RNA of Lolium perenne, 1479 nucleotides long. RefSeq lists it as uncharacterized. The record is from RefSeq and is a predicted model, not a curated record. Lineage: Eukaryota; Viridiplantae; Streptophyta; Magnoliopsida; Poales; Poaceae.